UACGUAGGGGGCAAGCGUUGUCCGGAAUCAUUGGGCGUAAAGCGCGUGUAGGCGGCCAAGUAAGUCCGUUCUGAAAGCCCGGGGCUCAACCCCGGGAGGCGGAUGGAUACUGCUUGGCUCGAGUCCGGAAGAGGCGAGUGGAAUUCCCGGUGUAGCGGUGAAAUGCGCAGAUAUCGGGAGGAACACCAAUGGCGAAGGCAGCUCGCUGGGACGGUACUGACGCUGAGACGCGAAAGCGUGGGGAGCAAACAGGG
Molecule: ribosomal RNA, 254 nt
Filed under: uncultured bacterium
Lineage: Bacteria
Description: partial 16S ribosomal RNA
Rfam family: Bacterial small subunit ribosomal RNA
Source: RNAcentral